UCUAGAGGCUUCGUCAAUGGGGGAAACCCUGAACGAGCGACGCCGCGUGCGGGAUGAAGGCCUUCGGGUUGUAAACCGCUUUUGUUCGGGAAGAAUGCCCGUGUCGUGAACAUGGGAGGGACGGUACCGAGCGAAUAAGCCUCGGCUAACUCCGUGCCAGCAGCCGCGGUAAGACGGAGGAGGCAAGCGUUGUUCGGAAUUAUUGGGCGUAAAGAGCUCGUAGGCGGACCGGCAAGUCUGACGUGAAAUCUCCACCGCUCACCGGGGAGAGGCCGUUGGAAACUACCGAUCUGGAGUUUGGCAGAGGGUCGUGGAAUUCCGCAUGUAGCGGUGGAAUGCGUAGAUAUGCGGAAGAACACCUGUGGCGAAGGCGGCGACCUGGGCCAUGACUGACGCUGAGGAGCGAAAGCCAGGGGAGCAAACGGG
Molecule: ribosomal RNA, 426 nt
Filed under: uncultured bacterium
Lineage: Bacteria
Description: bacterial SSU rRNA
Rfam family: Bacterial small subunit ribosomal RNA
Source: RNAcentral